AUCACACCCCAGUGUCACCCAGAUGAGGAUGGGUUCCCCCUUGGGUCCGGUUCCUCUCAAGUCAGGUUCCAUGAACCCUGGGUGCAGCAGCAGCGGAAGAUUAGACCCAGGUGAGGACCUCUCCCCUCCACUGCCACCGCUCGCCAAGAUCUCCACCCGGAACUACUUUGCCCCCUUUCGUGAGAUGGAACGCUAGAGAUUACUAGAGACUCCAUCACCAACCACGUCCUUGCUACUGUGUCUAAAGGUAAGGUGGGCACUCGUUAUUUGGAGCUUGUGUUCUUGAUGUCGCUGCACAGGCACCUGGGACCCUGAGCUAGAACAUGGAAUGACACCAGCCUGAGACAGUCAGAGAUCCUAAAGAGGGACUUCAAGAUCCUGGUAGAGACAGCAGGUUCACUGUCUCGAAGCACAUCGCUCACGACAAGGAUCAUUGCGCAUCAUGUCUGGACCACUUCCCACUGGAAGUGUUCUAGGCUCUUACGUGCUGAUGGCCUGCACCCCAACAGAGUUGAAGCAGAAAUCCUCUCGGACAAUCUACACAGCACACCAUCUGACUGGCAUCCUAAGAUUGUAGCUCCAGUUGUAUUCCGUGUCAUGAAGCUUUUGUUGAAACUCUAACAUCAUUGAGAUGAGGCCUACCCUGUGAGGAUCCUGAGGGAUCUGGAGAUGUACCAUCUCCAGUUGGAUUUUGCCUCAUGACGUAUUCUAAAAGGAGAUGCCAACUCCAUGUGGUCUUUGAGGACAACAACCUCCUAAUCAAUACACAAUUGCCAGACUGUAUGUUUAUAGUCACACCCUCCAGUGUCACCCAAAUGAGGAUGAGGUUCCCAUUUGAGUCUGGUUCCUCUCAAGGUUUCUUCCUUUUCCAUCUACGGGUGUUUUUUCUUGCUAUAGUCGCCUCAGUCACCUCAGGCUUGCUCAUUGGGGAUAAAUACAAACACAUUUAAAUAUAAGUCUUUUAUAAGUCUCAAAUAUAAGAUAUUAAUCUUUGUAUAAUAAUAAACUUUUUGUAUUAUGUUUCUUAUGUGCUGUAAAACUGCUUUGAUAGACUGUCCAUUGUUAAAAGUGCUAUAAAUUUACAAAUAAAUUUGAAUUGAAUUGAAUUGAAUUAUUGCUGGGUUCAGCCAUGUUUCAGUGAAGUAGAGGAGGCUGCAGUCCUGAAUGUCCCUCUGGAAAUUUACCCUGGCCCUGAGGUCAUCAAGCUUGUUCUCCUGAGACUGGGCAUUGGUGAACAGAAUGCUAGGCAGGGGAGCAAAGUGUGCACAUGCCCACAGCCUGUUCCUGAGACCAAUGUUCCGGAGAAUUCAGUUUCCCUGCUUCACCUUUAGCAAGCAUUUGUGGAAAAACUUCAUGAUUUGCAUUGAUUAUUGCAGUGCAUGCAUUAUCAUGUACUUUGUAAUUUUCAUCAAAAUAAGGUAUAUUUCAUGUUCUUUGUUUGAUAGUAUUACUUAAUCUUUAGUCAAAUACUUGAUAAUUAAAGAUUUCUCUUUGCUUUUUUUUGAGUCUGUAACAACUAGAAUUAAGGUGUCAAAUAUAAGUAACUAAUAUAUUCAACAUUCUCCUGUUGAGUUAUUGGGGGGGGGGCAACAUGAAGU
Tachysurus fulvidraco (yellow catfish) is the source of this 1598-nucleotide long non-coding RNA. RefSeq lists it as uncharacterized. The record is from RefSeq and is a predicted model, not a curated record. The transcript has 3 exons. Lineage: Eukaryota; Metazoa; Chordata; Actinopteri; Siluriformes; Bagridae.